RNAcentral lists this ribosomal RNA (367 nucleotides) under uncultured bacterium. Its description in RNAcentral is "bacterial SSU rRNA". It matches the Rfam family "Bacterial small subunit ribosomal RNA", at positions 28 to 403 of the family's 1533-position model. The record is from RNAcentral.
GAUGAACGCUAGCGGCAGGCCUAACACAUGCAAGUCGAACGGUAAGGCCCAGCUUGCUGGGUACACGAGUGGCGCACGGGUGAGUAACGCGUAUGCAACCUGCCUCGAACAGGGGGAUAGCCCCGAGAAAUUGGGAUUAAUACCCAUAACGCAUCGGAGCCGCAUGGCUCUGUUGCUAAAGCCCCGGCGGUUCGAGAUGGGCAUGCGUGGCAUUAGCUAGUGUGGGUAACGCCACAAGGCGUCGAUGCCUAGGGUUCUGAGAGGACAGCCCCCCAAACCUGGUACUGAGACACGGACCAGACUCCUACGGGAGGCAGCAGUGAGGAAUAUGGUCAAUGGGUAGAGCCUGAACCAGCCAUGCCGCGUG